This 253-nucleotide ribosomal RNA is filed under the name uncultured bacterium. RNAcentral's name for it is "partial 16S ribosomal RNA". It matches the Rfam family "Bacterial small subunit ribosomal RNA", at positions 524 to 776 of the family's 1533-position model. The record is from RNAcentral.
UACAGAGGGUGCGAGCGUUAAUCGGAGUUACUGGGCGUAAAGGGCGCGUAGGCGGAUAUUUAAGUGAGAUGUGAAAUCCCUGGGCUUAACCUAGGAACUGCAACUCAUACUGGGUAUCUGGAGUAUUGUAGAGGGUAGUGGAAUUUCCGGUGUAGCGGUGAAAUGCGUAGAGAUCGGAAGGAACACCAGUGGCGAAGGCGGCUACCUGGACAAAUACUGACGCUGAGGCGCGAAAGCGUGGGGAGCAAACAGG